Molecule: RNA transcript, 8569 nt
Organism: Asterias rubens (European starfish)
Lineage: Eukaryota; Metazoa; Echinodermata; Asteroidea; Forcipulatida; Asteriidae
Gene name: GRIP and coiled-coil domain-containing protein 2-like
Exons: 27
Source: RefSeq, a predicted model, not a curated record
UGCGCAUUGUAUCGUCGUCGCCACGUAUUUCGUUAUUAACUGCUAUUUUUACGGCGGAGGAAGGGUAGCUUUAGUCCGGAAACUGCUCUCUAAACAUCAUCAGCAUUAUGACGUUUACUAUAAUAUAGAUUGAACCGAAAGUACAUAACAUUCGGCAGCAAUGGCUAGUCAGGAUCAAGUACCACCGGCCAAUGGUGAAGGCGGAGAGGCUAAAUCAACCCCUGGUAAAACUGGAAAGUUGGAUAGUUUAGCCAAGGAUGACCUAAUUAAGUAUGUGAAGAAACAAGCAAUGCAGAUGCAGAAGCUGAAGGCCCAGUUUGAAAAGCUUACCAAGGAGGCAAAUGAGAUGAGUAAUCAGCAGAGUCCAUCAGGUGACGCUGAAUGCAGUGCUAAGAUGGUAGAGCUUGAAGCUAGAGCUAAGACAGCUGAGGAAGAGUUGGCUGAGUUGAAGGAGGAACGAGAAGGAAUGCUCACAACUUAUAACACUAUACAACAACAACAGGAGCAGAAUCUAGAAACACACAAGGCACUUGAGGAGGCACUUGAAAAGUCAGGAGAGGAGAAAGAACAUCUGCAAGGAGAAGUCACUCGUUGGCAAGAAGAUCUAAGCAAGGCCAACUUAAAAAACAAGGAGCUGUCUGAACAACUUGAGUGCAUGCAAAUGAAACAAGAAACAAUGACUUCUACCUUUCAAUGUAUGCAAGAAGACCAAAACAAGAUGACAAAAGAAAAUGAGGUAUUGAAAGACCAGAUUGUGUUGUUGACGGCUGCAAGAGACCAAGUAAUGGAGUCACUGCAAACAUUCAAGCAACAAACACGGGAGAAGGCAAACAGUGCAAAUGAACUAGAGAGCUCACUUACUGUGCUGACAUCGGAGAGGGAAGCUCUUACCGGACAACUCCAAACUCUGCAGAAAACUGAAGCAGACGCUAGGGCCGAGUUGGAAGAUCUCAAGAUUCACCUUCAAGCUGCAGAGGAAGAAAUGAAGGUCUCUGAGAAACUGGAGACUGAAAGGGAUGCUCUUUUAGGACAACUCCAAACUCUGCAGAAAACUGAAGCAGACACUAGAGCCGAGUUGGAAGAUCUCAAGAUUCACCUGCAAGGUGCAGAGGACGAAAACAAGGUCGCUGAGAAACUGGAGGCUGAGAGGAGGAUAGAGGAAGAAGAUACUAAAGCAAGACUUGAAGAAGAAAUCCAAAGACUGCAAGGUCUACAUGAGGAGGAUCUGAAAUUGAAGGAUGAGCUUCUGGUUGCCAACAGGGAGCUUGAGAAGGCUAAGGAUCAAGAGGUUGAGACUCGGAAAGACAGAGACAACCUCGCCAACAAAGUCACAAAGCUGAGUCAGACACUUCAGUUGAAAGAAAAUGAGUUAGAAGGUAAUGUGCAAUCCCAAAGUGAGUUCCAUAACCAGAUGCUAGAGAGAGAAGACAAGCUGAAGUCUGCUGUUGGCGAUAAACAGGAAUCCGAUAAAGUUAUUCAAGAGCUUCGCUCACAGCUUGAAGAGUUGUCUUCUGAGUUAAAAUCUGCGAAUCAGUUUGUGAAAUCAUCUGAGCAGGACAUUGAGAAUAGCAAGGCCACAGAAGCACAACUGAUGGAAGAGGUUCAGUCCCUUAUAUGUGAAUUAAAAGAAGCUCUUGGGUCACAGAGUGAGCUCAAAAUCCAGGUUGAUCAGUUGACAAAUGAGAAACUACAACUUGCAGGAGAGAUUGAAAACAUAAAGAUGACAAGAGAUCAGGCUGUUAGUGAUCUCGAAGAGAAGGCAGAGAAGGAUGAAAUUGUUACUAAGCUUCAAGACCAACUGGAGAUUGUGAUUGCUGAGAAGGAGCUCCUUGCGAAAGAAAUUGCCGCCUUGAGGCAGGUUCAAGACAGUAUUGGGGAGCUUAAUAUAGCAUUAGAGGCAUUACAAGAAGAGAAAACAAAGAUGGUUAGUGAAAGUUCAGACAAGGAGUCAGUCAUCUCCGCUCUUUCAAAUGAUAUUUACAGUCUGAAGAAAGAGAGAGAUGAUCUUGUAACAAGGGAAGAAGACUUACAAUGUGAAUUGAAAACAUUAAAACAGAACAACGGAGGUAAAGAAGAGCAGAUGCAAGAAAAACUUACUGCAACUGAAGAAGAGGUGGUGUCGUUGAAGGAGCAACUGUGCACGGCAACAGAGGAUUAUCAGAAGACUUUGCAAGCUGCUGAAGUUGAACGAGAUAGGGCGAGAGAGGAGACUUUGGUCUUAAAAACUGACCAAUCAAGCUCCAGCAACGAGCUGCAAGAACGGCUGAAACAUCUUCAAUCUGAAAGAGAUAACUUAAUAGAUGUGAAACAGGAGCUUGGCUUGCAGGUUAAUAGAUUGACUGAGGAGUUGAAAUGUGCCCAGGAAGACCUGGAGGUCUCCGAUGUCCUUGUCCAGAAACAGAAGCAAGAUUUGGAUAGAGAGUCUCAACUUAAAGAAGAACUGUUUUCCCAGCGACAGAUUAACGAGGAACUGCAGAAUGAGUUGGGUGCUAUUAGAGAAGCUCAUGUUGAAGCUAUGAACCAAAGCUCACAUGUUGAAUCUCAGUUGAAGGUCCUUAAAGAGUCACAAGAAACAGACGAGGAAGCUUCUGAAAGGCAAACAGAAAAGUCACAGAAGAGUCUUGAAGAAAAACUUCGACAAUUGUCAACAGAGAAAAAUGAGAUUGAACAGGCGCUUGUCAACCUCAGAAAUGAAAAGGAAUCUAUUGAAAAAGAUCUGACCUUGUCUGUUGAAAAUUUCACUCUUGAAAAGGAAGAGCUAAUUGCUAACUUGAAGGGUCAAGAAGCUCAGUUUCAAAAUAAAUUGGAGAAGAUGUCAGAUUCUAUUCGGGCUCAUGAAAGAGACAGACUCAACGCUGAAGAAGAUUUAGAAAACUUGAAGAAGACCAAUGAUAGCUACAACGCUGAGCUAACUGAAGCCCUGAAGAUGAUUACAAAUGAUAAAGAACAUCUCCAAUCUAAAUUGGAUUUGCUGAAUGAGCAGUUGAUGACUGCUGAGGCUGACAAAUCCAAAAUGGUUUCAGAACUUCACAGCAAGGAUUCAGAUCUGCAAAAGGUCCGACAAGAGAUAGAAGAUAGACAAGCUGAAGUCGAUGAAGCUGCUGAAAACCUGAAAAUGUUGCAACAAGAGAAGGAAGAGAUGGUCACAAAGAUUGAAUCUCUUCAGACCCAAUCAACCCCUACUCAACCGGCAGAGGAACUUGGCAAUAGGCAAGCAUUAGAGUCACAGAUCGAAAGUCUUGAAGCCAAGAUUAAGACCCUUGAAGUUGACAAACAGACCUUUAAAGCCAACUUUGAGAAACUGAAGAAGGCAAGCCAAACUAAACUCCAACGUCUUCAGGAACAGAUGGAAGCUGUCAAGGAGGAGAGAACCACUCUUUCAGUGAAACUUGACAAUGUGGUUAUUAGUGAGAAGAGCUUACAAGAACAGGUGCAUGAAUUGAAUGCACUCAUAGGUUCCCUGAAGAAUGAUAAAGCAGAUUUUGAAUCAGUUAAAGAGAAUCUUGAAUCCUCUCUGGAGGAGGUGACUGAAGAGAAGAAGUCUCUAUUUGCUGAUCUACAAGCGGUACUGGCCCAGCAAACUUCAAGUGAUGAUCGAAACCAAGAUUUAAUCAAGAGGCUUCAAGAGUCUGAGGUUUCUAAGCAGAAUCUGAUGAGCAAACUUCAGGAGGUCCAAGAUGAGGUUGUCAGGAAGGAGGAGGAAGUUAACAGAUUGGCAGGAGACUUGGAGAAAGCUCUGAUGGUCAAGAAGACACCUGAGGAGGAAACGGACAAAGAGAAAGAAGCCAUACAACACACGGCAUCUGAAGAUACUUCUCUUCAACAGCUCUUGGACGAGAAGAAGAAGCAGUUGAAAGAGACAGAAGAGAAAGCUCAGAAACUAAGAUCCUUAGCCAUGAAGGUCAAGAAAGAACUGGAACAAGCCAAGAAGCAGAUAGCUGCCCAGACAGAAGAACUAAAUGUUGUCAAAUCAGAGAAGGAUGAACUGAUGAAGAAGACGGAUUCCAUGAACCAACAGCUGACUGGGAGUAGACAACACAUCGAGAAUUAUCAGAGCCUUCAACUAGAGUAUGAGAAGCUACAAGAUUUUCUGGAUGCUGAAAAAGAAUUGUCACAUGAACUACAGAAAAAAAUGACCAAAAUGCUGGAGGAUUUCAAAAAUCUAUCUAGGGAGUGUUCCCAGACCAAAGUUGCUAAAGAGGAGCUAGCUAGGUCAUGUGACCAUGCUGUAAAGGAGAUCCAUACGUUGGAGUGCAGUGUAGCUGAACUUAAGAGUCAUCUCUCGGCCACUGAAGAAGAACGAGAUGCCGAGAGAGGAGAGAAAGAGAAAAAGAUAAAGGAGCUCUCCCAGGCUGUUGGAAAGAUAAAAGAGUUUGAACUGGACGUUGGAAAGCACAAAGUAAAUUUUGACACAACAACCAAGCAGCUACAGGCUGCAUUAAAGGAAGCUAGUCAGAGUAGCCUGAUGGAUCUUGAGAUAGCAGACUAUGAGAAGACUGUAUCCAACCUCAAUCACAUCAUCCAAGAAAAAGAUGGCAAGAUGAUGGAGUUUCAAACUGAAAUAGAGAGACUGCAGAAGAGAAAUGAAUCCAUGCUGAAAGAAAUAGAUGCUUGUGAUGCUCAACGGGUACAGGCUGAUGAAAGGGGAAACAAGCUCAAGGCUCUACUCAUGAAGAGCAAGAAAGACUUAGCAGACGCCAAGAAGAUUGAAUCUGACCAGCGUAGUAAUGAAGCAGCUCUUCAAGGUCAGUUAGAGAGUCUUAAUCAACAAGCAGAGGCUCUUAAAGUAGAUUUGUCGUUCUUAUCCGCUGAGAAUCAGAAGCUCAAUGGUCAGUUGCAUGCUUCUAACGAUGCCAACUUGCGGACGGUCAGAGUCUUGGAGCAGAAGAAUCAAACUCUCAAAGAAGAUCUGGAAUUAGUUCAUCAAGAAAUGACUCAAACUAAGGAUGAAUUUGAAAACUAUAAGGUGAGAGUUCACAGUGUAUUGAAACAGCAGAAGACUAGAGAAAGUUCUCAUGUAGUCAUGGAAACAGAGAUGCAAGAAAAAGAUCAUUUGGAGAAAGUUAAUAAGCAGCUCAAGACAAAGCUUCAAGAAGUCAGGGAUGAGUUAAAGACGUCAUCCACAGAGCUAGAACUUUUACAGGAUGAACAUGACCGCCAGCUGCAGCGACACAGCGACAUGGUGCAAGAUGCUCAAAACAAGGAAUCUAUGUGGCGAGAAAAGAUGAACAAGCUCCGUAUAGAGAGUGAAUCGGGUAAUAUUCAGCAUCAUGAUGCCAUUAGGGAACUCACUGCACAGAACGAAGCACUCACAAACGCCUUUAAGACACAGAUGCAUCAACUCCAAGAUGAACAUCACCGUACUGUUGCAUCACUACAACAGCAACUAGACAUGAUGGAGAACCAAGUCUAUCGCAUACAGAAUGAACAGCAGCAGGCAUUCCAGCAGCAACGUAGCCAGGGACUGGCCAGGACUGGGAUGGAUCUUAAAGAAGGCAUACAGGAUGCAGCACUUGCUAGACCCACCCUAGAGGAGAGGGAACAAGGAGAGGGUAUGGAGAACACAGAUGGUGAAUCGAGUGCAGCCAAACAGCGUAUCUCCUCUACUACUAGCAAUGUUCCUAUGAUACCACUAUCUCAACUACUCAGUGAGUCCUCCAUUGAUUCAUCAGCACUCAGUGUAGUCAGUCUGGCAGGCUCCACCGCUGAAGAGGAACAUCUUAAAGCAGAGUUGACCUCCACGAGGAAGAAACUAGAACAUUUCAAUGAGAUAAUGAGUGAUAAUGAAGCGACUAUCAUGCGUCUGACCGAACAAGCUAAAGUCUUGAAAGAGGAAAUCAGAAGACUGGAAAGAAAUCAACAAAGAGAGAAUGCAAUCUCCAACAUGGAGUACCUUAAGAAUGUAGUCAUGAAGUUCUUAGUUCCUGCUAAGCCAGGUGAGAGGCAACACUUGGUUCCUGUUCUAACUACCAUGCUACAAUUGAGUGACAAAGAGAGAGAGGAAAUGUUUGCUGUUAUAGCAGAAGAAGACGGGGAAGUGACUGAAAAGGAGACCAACAAAUGGGGUUCCUAUUUACAUCGCUGGUCAGGAGGCAUAGUGUAAUGGAUAACAAGCCAAGGAGUGUUUUGGAAAGAGACCACACAAUGGGGUUCCUAUUUACAUCGCUAGUCAGGAGGCAUAGUGUAAUGGAUAACAUGCCGAGGAGUGUCUUGAAAAGAGACCACACAAUGGGGUUCCUAUUUACAUCGCUAGUCAGGAGGCAUAGUGUAAUGGAUAACAUGCCAAGGAGCGCCUUGAAAAGAGACCACACAAUGGGGUUCCUAUUUACAUCGCUAGUCAGGAGGCAUAGUGUAAUGGAUAACAUGCCAAGGAGCGCCUUGAAAAGAGACCACACAAUGGGGUUCCUAUUUACAUCGCUAGUCAGGAGGCAUAGUGUAAUGGAUAACAAGCCAAGGAGUGUCUUGAAAAGAUACCACACAAUGGGGUUCCUAUUUACAUCGCUAGUCAGGAGGCAUAGUGUAAUGGAUAACAAGCCAAGGAGUGUCUUGAAAAGAGACCACACAAUGGGGUUCCUAUUUACAUCGCUAGUCAGGAGGUAUAGUGUAAUGGAUAACAAGCCAAGGAGUGUCUUGAAAAGAGACCACACAAUGGGGUUCCUAUUUACAUCGCUAGUCAGGAGGCAUAGUGUAAUGGAUAACAAGCCAAGGAGUGUCUUGAAAAGAGACCACACAAUGGGGUUCCUAUUUACAUCGCUAGUCAGGAGGUAUAGUGUAAUGGGUAACAAGCCAAGGAGUGUCUUGAAAAGAGACCACACAAUGGGGUUCCUAUUUACAUCGCUAGUCAGGAGGUAUAGUGUAAUGGAUAACAAGCCAAGGAGUGUCUUGAAAAGAGACCACACAAUGGGGUUCCUAUUUACAUCGCUGGUCAGGAGGCAUAGUGUAAUGGAUAACAAGCCAAGGAGUGUCUUGAAAAGAGACCACACAAUGGGGUUCCUAUUAACAUCGCUAGUCAGGAGGCAUAGUGUAAUGGAUAACAAGCCAAGGAGUGUCUUGAAAAGAGACCACACAAUGGGGUUCCUAUUUACAUCGCUGGUCAGGAGGCAUAGUUUAAUGGAUAACAAGCCAAGGAGUGUCUUGAAAAGAGACCACACAAUGGGGUUCCUCUUUACAUCGCUAGUCAGGAGGUAUAGUGUAAUGGAUAACAAGCCAAGGAGUGUCUUGAAAAGAGACCACACAAUGGGGUUCCUAUUUACAUCGCUAGUCAGGAGGCAUAGUUUAAUGGAUAACAAGCCAAGGAGCGCCUUGAAAAGAGACCACACAAUGGGGUUCCUAUUUACAUCGCUAGUCAGGAGGUAUAGUGUAAUGGGUAACAAGCCAAGGAGUGUCUUGAAAAGAGACCACACAAUGGGGUUCCUAUUUACAUCGCUAGUCAGGAGGCAUAGUGUAAUGGAUAACAUGCCGAGGAGUGUCUUGAAAAGAGACCACACAAUGGGGUUCCUAUUUACAUCGCUAGUCAGGAGGCAUAGUUUGAUGGAUAACAUGCCAAGGAGUGUCUUGAAAAGAGACCACACAAUGGGGUUCCUAUUUACAUCGCUAGUCAGGAGGUAUAGUUUAAUGGAUAACAUGCCGAGGAGUGUCUUGAAAAGAGACCACACAAUGGGGUUCCUAUUUACAUCGCUAGUCAGGAGGCAUAGUGUAAUGGAUAACAAGCAAAGGAGUGUCUUGAAAAGAGACCACACAAUGGGGUUCCUAUUUACAUCGCUAGUCAGGAGGUAUAGUGUAAUGGAUAACAAGCCAAGGAGCGCCUUGAAAAGAGACCACACAAUGGGGUUCCUAUUUACAUCGCUUGUCAGGAGGUAUAGUGUAAUGGACAGCAAGCCAAGGAGUGUCUUGAAAAGAGACUGCACAAUGGGGUUCCUAUUUACAUCGCUAGUCAGGAGGCAUAGUUUAAUGGAUAACAUGCCAAGGAGUGUCUUGAAAAGAGACCACACAAUGGGGUUCCUAUUUACAUCGCUAGUCAGGAGGUAUAGUGUAAUGGAUAACAAGCCAAGGAGCGCCUUGAAAAGAGACCACACAAUGGGGUUCCUAUUUACAUCGCUAGUCAGGAGGUAUAGUGUAAUGGAUAACAAGCCAAGGAGUGUCUUGAAAAGAGACCACACAAUGGGGUUCCUAUUUACAUCGCUAGUCAGGAGGUAUAGUUUAAUGGAUAACAUGCCAAGGAGUGUCUUGAAAAGAGACCACACAAUGAGGUUCCUAUUUACAUCGCUAGUCAGGAGGUAUAGUUUAAUGGAUAACAUGCCAAGGAGUGUCUUGAAAAGAGACCACACAAUGGGGUUCCUAUUUACAUCGCUAGUCAGGAGGUAUAGUUUAAUGGACAGCAAGCCAAGGAGUGUCUUGAAAAGAGACCACACAAUGGGGUUCCUAUUUACAUCGCUAGUCAGGAGGUAUAGUUUAAUGGAUAACAUGCCAAGGAGUGUCUUGAAAAGAGACCACACAAUGGGGUUCCUAUUUACAUCGCUAGUCAGGAGGUAUAGUUUAAUGGACAGCAAGCCAAGGAGCGCCUUGAAAA